UACGGAGGGUGCAAGCGUUAAUCGGAAUUACUGGGCGUAAAGCGCACGUAGGUGGCGAGAUAAGUUGGAUGUGAAAAACCGGGGCUUAACCUCGGCCGUGCAUUCAAAACUGUCUAGCUAGAGUAAGGGAGAGGGGGGUAGAAUUCCAGGUGUAGCGGUGAAAUGCGUAGAGAUCUGGAGGAAUACCGGUGGCGAAGGCGGCCCCCUGGCCCAUUACUGACACUGAGGUGCGAAAGCGUGGGUAGCGAACAGG
Molecule: ribosomal RNA, 253 nt
Filed under: uncultured bacterium
Lineage: Bacteria
Description: partial 16S ribosomal RNA
Rfam family: Bacterial small subunit ribosomal RNA
Source: RNAcentral